RNAcentral lists this ribosomal RNA (254 nucleotides) under uncultured bacterium. RNAcentral describes it as "partial 16S ribosomal RNA". It matches the Rfam family "Bacterial small subunit ribosomal RNA", at positions 524 to 776 of the family's 1533-position model. The record is from RNAcentral.
UACGUAGGGUGCAAGCGUUGUCCGGAAUUAUUGGGCGUAAAGAGCUCGUAGGCGGUUUGUCGCGUCGAUCGUGAAAACUUGGGGCUUAACCCUGAGCUUGCGGUCGAUACGGGCAUGACUGGAGUUCGGCAGGGGAGACUGGAAUUCCUGGUGUAGCGGUGAAAUGCGUAGAUAUCUGGAGGAAUACCGGUGGCGAAGGCGGCAUCCUGGACCGACAUUGACGCUGAUGAGCGAAAGCUAGGGGAGCAAACGGG